UGGAUAGACUUCCCAAAGAAGGUGAUGCCGAAGCUGAGGUCGGAAAUUACGAAGAUCAGCUAUGCCUUUUAAAGGACCAUGGGCUGUUUGAGGGGCCAACAUCAUUAACUGCAAACUUGGAAAUCAUGUCUUAGAGAUCAAGGAGCCAAGAGAUGAGACAAGCCUGGGUUCCUAGGUGAUAGGGUGUGGCUGUGUCCCCACCCAAAUCUCGUCUUGAAUUGUAGCUCCCAUAAUCCCCACAUGUUGUGGAGGGACCCUGUGGAAGAUUGUGCCUGCAGCCUGGCCUGUUGCCCACAGCGGUCUACCUGCCACACUGGGAAAGAUCGAGCAGAGACAGAGAAGAAAAGGAGGCUCCAUUUUUCAGGCUGCUCUCCCGCAGGCUCAUGUUUUGUGUUCAUGCCAGGCAGAGAACACAAAAUGUUCCAAUAAAUAAGUAUCAAAGAACUACCUCAGGAACAUACCAGGAAAGCUGAGAGAAUCCAAAGACCCUUUGAAGGACCUGGAUCACUGCUGCAGGCUCCUUGAGAUGCCGAAAAACUGUGAGUCGGCUUGCUUUCUCAAUGGGGAGGCUCAUGGUCUGGGGCAAGUUCUCAAUUCUGGUCACCAGCUGCCUGGAAAUAGACUUGGUGCCAUUAGUGGGGUGCGGUGGAAGUGAGAUUGGCCUUUAGGACUGUGGUAUAUGUGGGAACAGGUUGAGGCCUGUGACUGCCAGCUUUCCCCCACUUCCCUGGUGACCUGUAUGACUCAGCAGAGGCUGCCAUAAUCCCCCUGGGAAUAUAAGUCCAUUGGGCUGGGAACCAUCCCCCCAUCUUCCACAGCAGCAGCAGCAGCAAGCCCUGCCCAAGGAGAGGCUGAGCUCAGACAUGCCUAUCCCUGCCCCCACCCGGUGGUCUUUCUCUACCCGCCUGGUAAACAAACACAAAGGUCAUAUCUCCUGGGAGUUCUAUAGCCCUACCCACCACCUUAGAAACCUGAAUUCCUAGCCAGGUGUCCCUCAAGCAAGUGUAUAUCUUUCCUAUAGGACUGCAGUUUAUGUGCUCUUGAAAGUGCCACCUCCAGACUAGAGGCCAACCAACACAAAACCAGCACACUAAACACAAACACAACCAAAGACCUUCAAAGAGUCCACUUCAUUCCCCUGCUACCACCACUAGAGCAGGUGCUGGUCUCCAUGGCUGCAAGACCUGAAGACAUCACAUCACAGGACAAUUUGCAGGCAUCUCCCUAGCACCAGCCUAGAGCCCAGUAGCUCCGCUAGGUGGCUAGAUCCAGAAGAGCAAAAACAAUCACUACAGUUAAGCUCUCAGGAAGCCCCAUUCAGGAGAACACCAUAUCAAGGGAGCACUCCAUGGGACAAAAGAAUCUGAAGAGCAGUGCUUGAAUUCCAGAUCUUCCCUCUGACAUAGUCUACCCAAAUGAGAAGGAACCAGAAAAAUAAUUCUGGUUAUAUGACAAAACAAGGUUCUUUUACACCCCCAAAAGAUCAUACCAGCUCACCAGCAAUGGAUCCAAACCAAGACAAAAUCUCUGAAUUGCCAGAAAAAGAAUUCCAAAGGUCAAUUAUAAAGCUAAUGAAGGAGGCUCCAGAGAAAGGUGAAGUACAACUUAAAGAAAUAAAAAA
Molecule: long non-coding RNA, 1621 nt
Organism: Homo sapiens (human)
Lineage: Eukaryota; Metazoa; Chordata; Mammalia; Primates; Hominidae
Gene: CCDC26
Product: CCDC26 long non-coding RNA
Source: Ensembl